CUACUGUUUUUUUGUGGGUUUUUUUUUUCUUUUUUUGUCUCCAAAACCUCCAGGAUCCCUUUUUAUGGGAUGUGUGACUUUUUCCAUAAAGCACUCCAACAGAGCUGCUUUGAUCCUGCCUACCAGAAAGAUGACCCGCAGAUCCUCAAAGCUGUUUGCUCAGAAACAUCAGCACAAGCCACGGCAUCACUUUGCUCAGCUGAAAAGAAGAACUGAAGUUGUUCUGGGGUUUGCAGAGCCAAAGAAGCUUCAUUUCAUCUUAAUUUGUGGAAUCCAAGUGGAUCCUCUGAUGUCUGAUAAAGAAUUUCUGAGUACUUCAUCCAUUCUGAGAAAUCGUGGCCUUGGGAGACCACCAAAGGGACUUAAAGAUUGUAACAACAGGGUUUACCAUAUUAGAAACUAGAAUAAAAUUCUUACUUGCUCACCUUUUGCUGAGUGA
RNAcentral lists this long non-coding RNA (439 nucleotides) under Numida meleagris (helmeted guineafowl). RNAcentral describes it as "lncRNA (ENSNMEG00000000611.1)". Lineage: Eukaryota; Metazoa; Chordata; Aves; Galliformes; Numididae. The record is from RNAcentral.